UUUUAUUUGAGAGUUUGAUCCUGGCUCAGGAUGAACGCUGGCGGCGUGCCUAACACAUGCAAGUUGAGCGAUUUACUUCGGUAAAGAGCGGCGGACGGGUGAGUAACGCGUGGGUAACCUACCCUGUACACACGGAUAACAUACCGAAAGGUAUGCUAAUACGGGAUAAUAUAUUUGAGAGGCAUCUCUUAAAUAUCAAAGGUGAGCCAGUACAGGAUGGACCCGCGUCUGAUUAGCUAGUUGGUAAGGUAACGGCUUACCAAGGCGA
RNAcentral lists this ribosomal RNA (268 nucleotides) under Clostridioides difficile. RNAcentral describes it as "partial 16S ribosomal RNA". It matches the Rfam family "Bacterial small subunit ribosomal RNA", at positions 1 to 276 of the family's 1533-position model. The record is from RNAcentral. Lineage: Bacteria; Bacillati; Bacillota; Clostridia; Peptostreptococcales; Peptostreptococcaceae.